RNAcentral lists this ribosomal RNA (851 nucleotides) under uncultured bacterium. RNAcentral's name for it is "bacterial SSU rRNA". It matches the Rfam family "Bacterial small subunit ribosomal RNA", at positions 50 to 897 of the family's 1533-position model. The record is from RNAcentral.
GCUAUCUGCAGUCGAGGGGCAGCGCAGUGUAGCAAUACAUGGGCGGCGACCGGCAAACCGGUUGCGGAACACGUACGCAACCUUCCUUCAAAUGGGGGAUAGCCCACCGAAAGGUGGAUUAAUACCCCGUAACAUUUUCUGGUGGCAUCACUGGAUUAUUAUAGCUCCGGCGUUUGAAGAUGGGCGUGCGCCUGAUUAGGUAGUUGGCGGGGUAAUGGCCCACCAAGCCUACGAUCAGUAACUGGUGUGAGAGCACGACCAGUCACACGGGCACUGAGACACGGGCCCGACUCCUACGGGAGGCAGCAGUAAGGAAUAUUGGUCAAUGGACGCAAGUCUGAACCAGCCAUGCCGCGUGGAGGAUGAAGGUCCUCUGGAUUGUAAACCUCUUUUAUCUGGGAAGAAACCCGACUUUUCUAAGGCGGUUGACGGUACCAGAUGAAUAAGCACCGGCUAACUCCGUGCCAGCAGCCGCGGUAAUACGGAGGGUGCAAGCGUUAUCCGGAUUCACUGGGUUUAAAGGGUGCGUAGGUGGGCUGGUAAGUCCGUGGUGAAAUCUCCGAGCUUAACUCGGAAACUGCCGUGGAUACUAUUAGUCUUGAAUCUCGUGGAGGUAAGCGGAAUAUGUCAUGUAGCGGUGAAAUGCUUAGAUAUGACAUAGAACACCGAUAGCGAAGGCAGCUUGCUACACGAGUAUUGACACUGAGGCACGAAAGCGUGGGGAUCAAACAGGAUUAGAUACCCUGGUAGUCCACGCCCUAAACGAUGGAUACUCGACAUACGCGAUACACAGUGUGUGUCUGAGCGAAAGCAUUAAGUAUCCCACCUGGGAAGUACGACCGCAAGGUUGA